GGGGGUAUAGCUCAGUGGUAGGGAAUUUGACUGCAGAUCGAGACAUCCCCAGUUCAAAUCCAGGUGCCCCCU
Cricetulus griseus (Chinese hamster) is the source of this 72-nucleotide non-coding RNA. NCBI's taxonomy places the organism in Eukaryota, Metazoa, Chordata, Mammalia, Rodentia, Cricetidae. The record is from Rfam.